AUGGAACAGAUACUUCGUAGUUUUCUUCAAACUUGUAUAGCUCAAGGGAUUUUGAGGUCUAGCAGGACAGGUACACAGAGGUUCAGCUUCUGGAUCAGAUCCUCCUGGUAUAGGGAGUUGGAUACAACCAACUCUACAACUCGUCUAUCUCUGGAGCCCAUUGGAGAUGUCAAGGCCACUGCACACUGUUUUUCUUUACUUUGGGUAGUGCAAAUAAACUGUCACCAGAAUUCCAUUCAGGAUGACACAUUACAUUCGGUAUGUCUUCUUAGAAUCCUCUGGGCUGUGACAGUAUCUCAGAAUUUCCUUGCUUUUGAACAUACUGAGUUUUGGACCAAGUAG
RNAcentral lists this long non-coding RNA (342 nucleotides) under Papio anubis (olive baboon). RNAcentral describes it as "lncRNA (ENSPANG00000046754.1)". The record is from RNAcentral. Lineage: Eukaryota; Metazoa; Chordata; Mammalia; Primates; Cercopithecidae.